CAGUAGCCACGGUAAUACGUAGGGCGCAAGCGUUGUCCGGAAUUAUUGGGCGUAAAGAGCUCGUAGGCGGUCUGUCGCGUCUGGUGUGAAAUCCCGAGGCUCAACCUCGGGCUUGUAUCGGGUACGGGCAGACUAGAGUGCGGUAGGGGAGACUGGAAUUCCUGGUGUAGCGGUGGAAUGCGCAGAUAUCAGGAGGAACACCGAUGGCGAAGGCAGGUCUCUGGGCCGCAACUGACGCUGAGGAGCGAAAGCAUGGGGAGCGAACAGGAUUAGAUACCCCCGUAGUCCCUGUCUCUUAUAC
RNAcentral lists this ribosomal RNA (301 nucleotides) under uncultured bacterium. Its description in RNAcentral is "partial 16S ribosomal RNA". It matches the Rfam family "Bacterial small subunit ribosomal RNA", at positions 509 to 807 of the family's 1533-position model. The record is from RNAcentral.